Molecule: transfer RNA, 74 nt
Filed under: Prevotella sp. CAG:873
Lineage: Bacteria; Pseudomonadati; Bacteroidota; Bacteroidia; Bacteroidales; Prevotellaceae
Description: transfer RNA-Gln(TTG)
Rfam family: tRNA
About the family: Transfer RNA (tRNA) molecules are approximately 80 nucleotides in length. Their secondary structure includes four short double-helical elements and three loops (D, anti-codon, and T loops).
Source: RNAcentral
AGUCUUAUGGUGUAAUGGUAGCACUACAGUUUUUGGUUCUGUCUGUCUAGGUUCGAAUCCUGGUAAGACUACUA